Thalassophryne amazonica is the source of this 99-nucleotide long non-coding RNA. RefSeq lists it as uncharacterized. The transcript is spliced from 3 exons. NCBI's taxonomy places the organism in Eukaryota, Metazoa, Chordata, Actinopteri, Batrachoidiformes, Batrachoididae. The record is from RefSeq and is a predicted model, not a curated record.
CUGGCAUUUUUUUUGGGACACACAACAGACUCUCUGAACUUUGCAGUCUGAUAUCACGAGCCCUGACGAGGCAGCAGUGCAUCCCACUGUACGUCUGGA